Molecule: long non-coding RNA, 1183 nt
Organism: Brachypodium distachyon (stiff brome)
Lineage: Eukaryota; Viridiplantae; Streptophyta; Magnoliopsida; Poales; Poaceae
Exons: 3
Source: RefSeq, a predicted model, not a curated record
GCGUGGAAUCCCGGAGUUGCCUUUUGCGUCGACGCAAAACCAGUCGCCGGGCGCCUCGCUCUAAAUUAACGCACGGGAACGGGACGAUUCUUGGAGGAAGCGGGUGGCUCGCAACUGCGGGGGUCGCAGAGGAUUUUCUUCCCGCAACUGCAGCCCAGUAAUCACGGGGAUAUCAGCACAAACGAAUCCGUUUUGGCAGGUAUAGAAACAAGCCGUAAUCUAUUUUGGCAAGUACAGAUUGCGGUAAUUAAGCAAAAAAGCACGGAGAAAUUUGCUAUCCGCAAGCAUACUUAACUCCUUUUGGCAGGCGGAUUUUGAUUGCCGCCCGUAACUAUAGCAGACUUAGCACUGAGGAAGGACACGGCGGGGCAGAGAAGGAGAAAUAGGAGAGGCGGCCGACCACCUGCUUUAGCUCCUCUUCUUCCCCAUGAACUUAACCAUCAUCAGCCUCCGCCCCCGCCCCGAGGCGCCUGGUCAGAGAUGGGUUUGCGGUGGUGGGUGCAGCCUGCAGCGGCGUGGUGGUGGGCGCAGCAGACGAGUGUCGCCGGAGUUGCAGCGGUGGUAUCAGCCUGAUCGAGAGAGGUAGAGCUGAAGAAGAUUCAAGCCGCUGGCUCGGCACGCAACGAAGCAGGCGGCGAUUGCUUCUCAGGGCUUCGCGGUACAGAAAAUGCUUCUUGCGGUCUUGCCGAAGCGACGUCGUGUCGAAGAGGACUAUCAGGUUAUGGAUCAAAGUGAACGCAGUCCACACACACGUUCGUUCUAAACGAUAACACUCUUCACACCUGAGCGGUGCUGAAACGAAGCAGCGCAUGCCGUCCAUGUUUGUCUGAGCAAUCGACCAAACCGAUCUCUGUCUCUCAGACAGCGGAGGAGAUCGUGUAUGCAAAUGCAAACGACCACAAUCACGCCCACAGUUAUCAUGAUUAUAUGGAAGGCUACAGAGGAGCAGAUACACAAGAUACUCAUAUUAUCUGGCAAAGCAUGAACAGGAUCGUAGGACAUGAAAAAUGGGAACACAAUCAUCAACCUCAAUAGCUAGAACAUUGUCCAUACUAUUAUCCAUAAAAGGCAGCGCCAUGUCACUGCUAAACAUUACAAGAACAAUAAUACAUAGCAGUUGGUUACAGCAGAUCACUCAAAUCUUCCUGGGGUUUGCCAAUAUACAGAGAUAUCAUUGCCCAUC